AAGUCGUAACAAGGUAACCGUAGGUGAACCUGCGGUUGGAUCAUUACAGAAAAUGUUUUAACAAACAUACACAUUGUGCACUGUUUUUGUCUCUGGCGGCGGGGCAGCUAUUGGCUUUACACCCAUAGUUGUCUGUCAGUCUUGGUGUAACAGCCAUGGCCGUGGACAAACCGCCAAUGUCAAACCACUUAUAUUUUUUAAACUGUCUAAUAUUGAAGUUAUUCGUAUAUAAUUAUACAAACAACUUUUGGCAACGGAUCUCUUGGCUCUC
RNAcentral lists this unclassified non-coding RNA (271 nucleotides) under Spizellomyces sp. Its description in RNAcentral is "partial internal transcribed spacer region". The stretch from base 1 to 46 matches the Rfam family "Eukaryotic small subunit ribosomal RNA", at positions 1786 to 1831 of the family's 1831-position model. Lineage: Eukaryota; Fungi; Chytridiomycota; Chytridiomycetes; Spizellomycetales; Spizellomycetaceae. The record is from RNAcentral.